This 197-nucleotide ribosomal RNA is filed under the name uncultured bacterium. RNAcentral describes it as "partial 16S ribosomal RNA". It matches the Rfam family "Bacterial small subunit ribosomal RNA", at positions 335 to 524 of the family's 1533-position model. The record is from RNAcentral.
ACUCCUACGGGAGGCAGCAGUGGGGAAUUUUGGACAAUGGGCGAAAGCCUGAUCCAGCCAUGCCGCGUGAGUGAAGAAGGCCUUCGGGUUGUAAAGGACUUUUGUUAGGGAGCAAGUCCUGCAGGUUAAGAGCUAGUAGGGAUGAGAGUACCUAAAGAAUAAGCACCGGCUAACUACGUGCCAGCAGCCGCGGUAAU